RNAcentral lists this ribosomal RNA (253 nucleotides) under uncultured bacterium. RNAcentral describes it as "partial 16S ribosomal RNA". It matches the Rfam family "Bacterial small subunit ribosomal RNA", at positions 524 to 776 of the family's 1533-position model. The record is from RNAcentral.
UACAGAGGGUGCAAGCGUUGCUCGGAAUUACUGGGCGUAAAGCGUGUGUAGGCGGUCCAGCAAGUGGGGUGUGAAAUCCCUAGGCUCAACCUAGGAACUGCGCCCCAAACUGCAGGACUUGAGUGUCGGAGAGGAUAGUGGAAUUCCCAGUGUAGAGGUGAAAUUCGUAGAUAUUGGGAGGAACACCAGUGGCGAAGGCGGCUAUCUGGACGAACACUGACGCUGAGACACGAAAGCGUGGGGAGCAAACAGG